RNAcentral lists this ribosomal RNA (301 nucleotides) under uncultured bacterium. RNAcentral describes it as "partial 16S ribosomal RNA". It matches the Rfam family "Bacterial small subunit ribosomal RNA", at positions 509 to 807 of the family's 1533-position model. The record is from RNAcentral.
CAGCCGCCGCGGGAAUACGGAGGGAGCUAGCGUUGUUCGGAAUCACUGGGCGUAAAGCGCACGUAGGCGGCUAUUCAAGUCAGGGGUGAAAGCCCGGGGCUCAACCCCGGAACUGCCUUUGAAACUAGAUAGCUUGAAUCUUGGAGAGGCGAGUGGAAUUCCGAGUGUAGAGGUGAAAUUCGUAGAUAUUCGGAAGAACACCAGUGGCGAAGGCGACUCGCUGGACAAGUAUUGACGCUGAGGUGCGAAAGCGUGGGGAGCAAACAGGAUUAGAUACCCCGGUAGUCCCUGUCUCUUAUAC